GCUUGCGAGGGCGAUUUGGCUGCGACAUCUGUCACCCCACUGAUCGCCAGGGUUGAUUCGGCUGAUCUGGCUGGCUAGGCGGGUGUCCCCUUCCUCCCUCACCGCUCCAUGUGCGUCCCUCCCGAAGCUGCGCGCUCGGUGGAAGAGGACGACCUUCCCCGAUAGAGGAGAGGACCGUUCUUUGGUCAAGGGUAUACAAGUAGCUGCGCUCCCCUGCUAGAACCUCCAAACAAGCUCUCAGGACAAAAUUAAAUGUAAUAGAAAAACUUAAAAAUAAAAAAGAGGCUUUUU
Neogale vison (American mink) is the source of this 291-nucleotide unclassified non-coding RNA. Its record names the gene 7SK. It matches the Rfam family "7SK RNA". Rfam says of the family: 7SK was discovered as an abundant small nuclear RNA in the mid-70s but a possible function has only recently been suggested. Two independent studies have found that 7SK RNA binds the CDK9/cyclin T complex (known as elongation factor P-TEFb). The record is from Ensembl. Lineage: Eukaryota; Metazoa; Chordata; Mammalia; Carnivora; Mustelidae.